GAUGUAAGCGCAGUCGUCGUCCGCAAUCGCCCGGCCAUUGGCGACUUUUAUCGGCUCCAUGUUCAAACACGCCGGCGUCACGGUCUCCCGCCGCAACCGGCGUCGUUUUUCAUGAACAUCUACGA
Molecule: unclassified non-coding RNA, 125 nt
Filed under: uncultured fungus
Lineage: Eukaryota; Fungi
Description: sequence contains ITS1
Source: RNAcentral